CUCAUCAGAAGGAGCUGAAAUGUCUCUGAAGAGACUUGGUCACUAUCUUCAGAAGUCCAAGGCACUGAGGAAAGGCCUUGUGAACACAUAACAAGAAGGUGGCUGCCUGCAAACCAGGAAGAGAGGCCUCACCUGAAACCAAAUCAACCAGAAUCUUCAUGUUAGACUUCUAGCCUCCAGAUCCGUGAGAAGCAGAGGGACUCUCCCAAACCCAGCUCUGACCACGGCCAUCUCUUAGUUCAAGACCCCAAUAAUUUACAGACCAGCCCUGAGCCAACAUCCGUGCCGAUCCUCCUCUACCCCAUAUGUGGGAUGCCCACCACAGCAUGGCUUGCCAAGCCGUGCCAUAUCCCUACUCGGGAUCCGAACUGACGAACCCCAGGCCGCCG
RNAcentral lists this long non-coding RNA (389 nucleotides) under Equus caballus (horse). Its description in RNAcentral is "lncRNA (ENSECAG00000055833.1)". Lineage: Eukaryota; Metazoa; Chordata; Mammalia; Perissodactyla; Equidae. The record is from RNAcentral.